AUACGGGGGGUGCAAGCGUUAUUCGGAUUUAUUGGGCGUAAAGGGCGCGUAGGCGGCUUGGAAAGUCAGAUGUGAAAGCCCGGGGCUCAACCCCGGAAGUGCAUUUGAAACUAUCAGGCUUGAGUAUGGGAGAGGGAAGUGGAAUUCCUGGUGUAGAGGGGAAAUUCGUAGAUAUCAGGAGGAACACCGGUGGCGAAGGCGACUUCCUGGACCAAUACUGACGCUGAGGCGCGAAGGCGUGGGGAGCAAACAGGAUUAGAAACCCUAGUAGUCC
Molecule: ribosomal RNA, 274 nt
Filed under: uncultured bacterium
Lineage: Bacteria
Description: partial 16S ribosomal RNA
Rfam family: Bacterial small subunit ribosomal RNA
Source: RNAcentral